This is a non-coding RNA of Anolis sagrei ordinatus, 351 nucleotides long. NCBI's taxonomy places the organism in Eukaryota, Metazoa, Chordata, Lepidosauria, Squamata, Anolidae. The record is from RefSeq and is a predicted model, not a curated record.
GCCUUUCCCAGAUCCAGCUAACCCAGGUCAAGAAAAUUGUACAGUCAUCAAAGAACCCAAGUACGAAAAGUUCAAGGAGUCGUGCACUUCUAACCAUCUGUUCAUUUGUGAAAAGCCCAUGAAGCUUGCCUGUGUCUGGCACCUCCUUCAUAAUUCCUUCAAUUGAAAUGGUUUCUCUUCAAGAGAAUCAAAUGUCAUAACACUUCAUUUCUUUUAGAAUGAUACAUUGUUUUUGUGAUCUACACAAUCAAAAGCUUUUCUAUAAUCAAUAAUGUAUAAGUUGAUUUUCUUCUGAAAUUAUUUGGCAUGUUCCAGUAGUUUAUGUUUGGUAUUAAAAAAAACGAGCCUGUG